RNAcentral lists this long non-coding RNA (1875 nucleotides) under Canis lupus familiaris (dog). RNAcentral describes it as "lncRNA (ENSCAFG00845022927.1)". The record is from RNAcentral. Lineage: Eukaryota; Metazoa; Chordata; Mammalia; Carnivora; Canidae.
UUUUUUUAUUUUUAUUUUUAUUUUUUUAGAAAGGCUUUUUUAAACACAAAAGCAUUGGAAGAUAUUUUGAAAUAAACAAUGCUACUUUGAGGAUACAAAAAACAUUUUAAUUUUUUAAACUUCAAAAAACACUGUUAACACAUAAGGUUAAAAGUUUGGAAGGACAUACUCCAAAAAUGUUAGUUACAAGUCCAAGGGGUAAAAAUGUAGGAGAUUUUUACUUUCUUCUUUUUGAUUUUCUAUUGUAUCUGAUUUUUUAUUUUGCCGUGAUAGCCCUUUGUUUUCACUAUCACACACACAAAAAAUAAAGGUGUUUCCAUUUUGAAAAGAAAUUUGACAUAAAAAGAUUAAAGUGUUAGAAACAAGGGAAAUAUUUUAAAAAAUAAAAUAGAACUCUCACAAUUCACAAGAAAAACAUUAAAAGAUCCCAAUAUAACUAGGCACAUGGCACAAAUGGAUAAUUCACAAAAAUGCAGAUUCAGCCUUGGGGCACCUGGGUAGCUCAGUCAGUUGGGCAUCUGCCUUCAGCUCAGGUCAUGAUACUAGGGUACUGGGAUCCAGUCCAGUAUCAGGCUACCUGUUCAGCGGGGAGCCUGCUUCUCCCUCUCACUUUGCCCCUCCCCCUGCUUGCACAUGCUCACGGUCUUUCUCUCUCUCUCAAAAACAAAUAAAAUCUUUUAAAAAAAUAAAAUUAAAAAAAAUAAAAGUUCAAUCUUGGGGUGCCUGGCUGGCUCAAUUAGAGGAGCAUGUGACUCUUGAUCUCAGGGUCAUGAGGUCGAGCCCCACAUUGGGUAUAGAGAUUACUCAAAAAUAAAUAAAUAAAUACUUUAAAAGUUCAGUCUUACCAGAAAAUUUAAAAAGCAUUCAUUAAAUCAAUGAAACAUAACAUUCCUGCCUCUACUUUCUUCAAAGUAGUGAAUUUUUUUUUAAUUAUGUUACUUAAAAUCAGAGACAGACCCAUGCUUUGCUUCUGAAAGUAUAACAGAUAAUAGAAUUUCUGGAAAGCAGUUUUGCGAUAUGUAGUAAGACUCAUCGAAAUGCCUAUAUUCUUCAAUCCUAGAAUUUCAAGUCUAGGAAAUAAUUUAAAAUUUUAGGAAAGCUUUAAUCACACAGAUGUCUGUCAUCUUAAUUAUAAUAAUGAGAACCUGAAAACAGGAGUGGUAGCUAUUUAUUGCCAUUGCUUGCUGCUACUGUGCAUGUUUGCUCACUCCUUCAGACUCCAGACAUUUCUGAGCACCUCCUAAGUACCAGUCCCAGGCCGGGCUCUGCAGAAACAGCAGUGGGUUGCACCCGGGAGAGCACCACAUCUGGGACAGAAUGGGGUCUGGGAAGGAUCAGGGAACUCUCUGAGGGAGGGACAUUGAAGACCUGAAGUGAGCCUUGACAGGAGAGCAGGACAAGAACCUGGUGCCUGGUGGAGCCCUCAAAUAUCGAGGCAGGAAAAAAUGAACAGACAAGCAAAUAUGCAAUGUAUUCUGGGGCUGCCUUUCCUUCUGCCCCUUCAGGGCCAGGUCCCCACCCCUGUGUCCCUCUAGUUCUGCACAGAAGACCCCAAGGGCCCAGCUGUCCAGUCUAUUCUCAGACCUCUGCACAAAGGGCUAUUACCACGUGCAAUUAACUAAACUAUAGUAUAGCAAUGCAUGAAAUGUUUGCCAAAACAAUGCUUAUGAAGUUUUUUGUGAUGGGGAAAUGCCGCUAAUGUGUUGUUAAGAGAAUAAUGCAGGAUAUUGAAUUGUAUAUGAGUAUAGUGCCAGCUGCUAUCCAAAUGUGGUUGGUAUCUCUGGGUAGAGCAAUUUGGGGUGAGGCUUUUUUCAUUCCUUUUUUAUUUUCCAAAUUUUGUGCAAAUACUAUUUUGGUGAUCAAAUGGUAUUAAAA